RNAcentral lists this ribosomal RNA (440 nucleotides) under uncultured bacterium. RNAcentral's name for it is "partial 16S ribosomal RNA". It matches the Rfam family "Bacterial small subunit ribosomal RNA", at positions 338 to 795 of the family's 1533-position model. The record is from RNAcentral.
CCUACGGGAGGCAGCAGUGGGGAAUUUUGCACAAUGGGGGAAACCCUGAUGCAGCGACGCCGCGUGAGUGAAGAAGUAUCUCGGUACGUAAAGCUCUAUCAGCAGGGAAGAUAAUGACGGUACCUGACCCAGAAGCCCCGGCUAACUACGUGCCAGCAGCCGCGGGAAUACGUAGGGGGCAAGCGUUAUCCGGAUUUACUGGGUGUAACGGGAGCGUAGACGGCAGCACAAGUCUGGAGUGAAAUCCCGGGGCUUAACCCAGGAACUGCUGUGGAAACUGUGCGGCUGGAGUGCAGGAGAGGUAAGCGGAAUUCCUAGUGUAGCGGUGAAAUGCGUAGAUAUUAGGAGGAACACCGGUGGCGAAGGCGGCUUACUGGACUGUAACUGACGUUGAGGCUCGAAAGCGUGGGGAGCAAACAGGAUUAGAUACCCUAGUAGUC